RNAcentral lists this small RNA (562 nucleotides) under Pan troglodytes (chimpanzee). Its description in RNAcentral is "processed transcript". The record is from RNAcentral. Lineage: Eukaryota; Metazoa; Chordata; Mammalia; Primates; Hominidae.
AGGCCAGGGAAGGGCAGGGACUCCUUGCAAGGACACAUCCCUGCUUAAAGGGGACCUCGUGCACCGCAAAUAAUCUCCCCAAAGCCAUUGCCGCUGCUCACACCUUUCUACUGAAGCAUCCUGAUGACGAAAUGAUGAAGAGGAACAUGGCAUAUUAUAAGAGCCUGCCUGGGGCCGAGGACUACAUUAAAGACCUGGAAACCAAGUCAUAUGAAAGCCUGUUCAUCCGAGCAGUGCGGGCAUACAACGGUGAGAACUGGAGAACAUCCAUCACAGACAUGGAGCUGGCCCUUCCCGACUUCUUCAAAGCCUUUUACGAGUGUCUCGCAGCCUGCGAGGGUUCCAGGGAGAUCAAGGACUUCAAGGAUUUCUACCUUUCCAUAGCAGAUCAUUAUGUAGAAGUUCUGGAAUGCAAAAUACAGUGUGAAGAGAACCUCACCCCAGUUAUAGGAGGCUAUCCGGUUGAGAAAUUUGUGGCUACCAUGUAUCAUUACUUGCAGUUUGCCUAUUAUAAGUUGAACGACCUGAAGAAUGCAGCCCCCUGUGCAGUCAGCUACCUGCU